Molecule: non-coding RNA, 283 nt
Organism: Schizosaccharomyces pombe (fission yeast)
Lineage: Eukaryota; Fungi; Ascomycota; Schizosaccharomycetes; Schizosaccharomycetales; Schizosaccharomycetaceae
Source: the annotation of a GenBank genome assembly
UAAAGCCCAUUUUCAUUAUCUGUAUCACGUACUCCCAGUGUGAAGUUACUUAGGUUACCUUGUUUCUUAAUCCAUCAAAAACUCUUUUCUUUGUCCUUAGCAUUCUUUGUUUAAAGUUGUAUAUAAGGGGAACUUGAGAGAUUUGAAUUUACUUACAACACAUAUAUUAAAUAUUGCUUUCAACACACGUUUGUACUUUUAUUUUCCAAGAUUUCCCUUUCUGAGAAAUAUUUGUCAAUUAGUAAACAUAUAAGGCAGGCUACAAAAGAUAUCAUUUGUAUAG